RNAcentral lists this long non-coding RNA (242 nucleotides) under Lytechinus variegatus (green sea urchin). RNAcentral describes it as "uncharacterized LOC121424675". Lineage: Eukaryota; Metazoa; Echinodermata; Echinoidea; Temnopleuroida; Toxopneustidae. The record is from RNAcentral.
CGACGAUAAAUAGCUUUGCACGAAAUGAAGAGGAGCGAAGUGCUUAAUACCGGUAUUUGCCGAGCUGUGAGAACAUCUAAAUUUUUGAAUGGAUGAAAACAUCUUACAACAUGCACAGGCUGUCCUGAGAGACUAUUAAAGGAGGAUUGUUAGAGAGGAAUAUGCCAACAAGAACUGCAAUUAGGAGUCAUUGACAGGAGGAAACUUUUUAAAAGAGACCACACACUACCUCAUCAACAUGU